Molecule: ribosomal RNA, 450 nt
Filed under: uncultured bacterium
Lineage: Bacteria
Description: bacterial SSU rRNA
Rfam family: Bacterial small subunit ribosomal RNA
Source: RNAcentral
GUGGGGAAUAUUGGACAAUGGGCGAAAGCCUGAUCCAGCCAUGCCGCGUGUGUGAAGAAGAUCUUCGGAUUGUAAAGCACUUUAAGUUGGGAGGAAGGGCAGUAAGUUAAUACCUUGCUGUUUUGACGUUACCGACAGAAUAAGCACCGGCUAACUUCGUGCCAGCAGCCGCGGUAAUACGAAGGGUGCAAGCGUUAAUCGGAAUUACUGGGCGUAAAGCGCGCGUAGGUGGUUUUGUAAGUUGGAGGUGAAAUCCCCGGGCUCAACCUGGGAACUGCCUCCAAAAAUGCAUGACUAGAGUACGGUAGAGGGUAGUGGAAUUUCCUGUGUAGCGGUGAAAUGCGUAGAUAUAGGAAGGAACACCAGUGGCGAAGGCGACUACCUGGACUGAUACUGACACUGAGGUGCGAAAGCGUGGGGAGCAAACAGGAUUAGAUACCCCGGUAGUCC